This 505-nucleotide ribosomal RNA is filed under the name uncultured bacterium. RNAcentral describes it as "partial 16S ribosomal RNA". It matches the Rfam family "Bacterial small subunit ribosomal RNA", at positions 28 to 507 of the family's 1533-position model. The record is from RNAcentral.
GACGAACGCUGGCGGCGUGCCUAAUACAUGCAAGUAGAACGCACAGUUUAUACCGUAGCUUGCUACACCAUAGACUGUGAGUUGCGAACGGGUGAGUAACGCGUAGGUAACCUGCCUGGUAGCGGGGGAUAACUAUUGGAAACGAUAGCUAAUACCGCAUAAUAUUAAUUAUUGCAUGAUAAUUAAUUGAAAGGUGCAAUUGCACCACUACCAGAUGGACCUGCGUUGUAUUAGCUAGUAGGUGAGGUAACGGCUCACCUAGGCGACGAUACAUAGCCGACCUGGGAGGGUGAUCGGCCACACUGGGACUGAGACACGGCCCAGACUCCUACGGGAGGCAGCAGGAGGGAAUCUUCGGCAAUGGACGAAAGUCUGACCGAGCAACGCCGCGUGAGUGAAGAAGGUUUUCGGAUCGUAAAGCUCUGUUGUAAGAGAAGAACGGGUGUGAGAGUGGAAAGUUCACACUGUGACGGUAGCUUACCAGAAAGGGACGGCUAACUACGUG